Molecule: long non-coding RNA, 359 nt
Organism: Solanum tuberosum (potato)
Lineage: Eukaryota; Viridiplantae; Streptophyta; Magnoliopsida; Solanales; Solanaceae
Exons: 2
Source: RefSeq, a predicted model, not a curated record
UUCAAGUUUUAUAUUUUCUCUUUCUUCAAAUUUCUUUGCAGGUCAAGAAAUACAAAUUAUGAAUGGUUUUCCUAAUUUGUUCAACAAAUCUCUAACUUAACUCAAGAAAUAUCUCAAUUGUUAAAGGGCUCACACGGUUUCCUUGUCGGGUUCCAGAUCUCCGCCGCCGCCGCUCUAUGGAUGGUUCCAAAAAGACUCUUCUUGAAUCCAUGGAACUUGAUGAAUCAAUUGUUGAAUAGAAGUUCUUAAUUGUCCAUUCAUUCUCAAUUCUAAAUAACAAAAAUAAGUUUAUUUAUGUAUUCAUCCUAAUUGCAUAUGUAAAACAAAGUUUUUAUCUUAUUUUGCUUAUUUUGUAUUUA